Molecule: unclassified non-coding RNA, 152 nt
Filed under: uncultured fungus
Lineage: Eukaryota; Fungi
Description: sequence contains ITS1
Source: RNAcentral
UUCAUCAUAAAUCAGAUUCAGACACAAAACUUUGUCCUGCAUAAAAACGGCCCCAUGCGAGGCCGAAGCACAUUUCACUUCCACGGAUUUGAGGUUUGAAGGUCAAAAGAGACCAUUCGUUAAUGAUCCCUCCGCAGGUUCACCUACGGAGA